Molecule: ribosomal RNA, 511 nt
Filed under: uncultured bacterium
Lineage: Bacteria
Description: bacterial SSU rRNA
Rfam family: Bacterial small subunit ribosomal RNA
Source: RNAcentral
AGAGUUUGAUCAUGGCUCAGAAUCAACGCUGGCGGCGUGCCUAACACAUGCAAGUCGAACGAGAAAGUGGAGCAAUCCAUGAGUACAGUGGCGCACGGGUGAGUAACACGUGACUAACCUACCCUUGAGUGGGGGAUAACUGAGGGAAACCUUAGCUAAUACCGCAUAAUACCUACGGGUCAAAGGAGCAAUUCGCUUAAGGAGGGGGUCGCGGCCGAUUAGUUAGUUGGCGGGGUAAUGGCCCACCAAGACGAUGAUCGGUAUCCGGCCUGAGAGGGCGCACGGACACACUGGAACUGAAACACGGUCCAGACUCCUACGGGAGGCAGCAGUGGGGAAUUUUGCGCAAUGGGGGAAACCCUGACGCAGCAACGCCGCGUGGAGGAUGAAGUCCCUCGGGACGUAAACUCCUUUCGAUCGGGACGAUUAUGACGGUACCGGAAGAAGAAGCCCCGGCUAACUUCGUGCCAGCAGCCGCGGUAAUACGAGGGGGGCGAGCGUUGUUCGGAAU